This 537-nucleotide ribosomal RNA is filed under the name fungal endophyte. Its description in RNAcentral is "eukaryotic LSU rRNA". The stretch from base 158 to 311 matches the Rfam family "5.8S ribosomal RNA". The record is from RNAcentral. Lineage: Eukaryota; Fungi.
GGGGGGCUUAUUGAUUUUAUAACUUUCCAACCCCUGUGACAUACCUUAAUGUUGCCUCGGCGGAUCAGCCCGCGCCCGGUAAAACGGGACGGCCCGCCAGAGGAUCCAAACUCUUGCUGUUAUUGUAACUUCUGAGUAAAACAAACAAAUAAAUCAAAACUUUCAACAACGGAUCUCUUGGUUCUGGCAUCGAUGAAGAACGCAGCAAAAUGCGAUAAGUAAUGUGAAUUGCAGAAUUCAGUGAAUCAUCGAAUCUUUGAACGCACAUUGCGCCCGCCAGUAUUCUGGCGGGCAUGCCUGUUCGAGCGUCAUUUCAACCCUCAAGCCCCCGGGUUUGGUGUUGGGGAUCGGCAAGCCUUCUGGCGAGCCGCCCCCUAAAUCUAGUGGCGGUCUCACUGCAGCCUCCAUUGCGUAGUAGCUAACACCUCGCAACUGGAACGCGGUGCGGCCAUGCCGUUAAACCCCCAACUUCUGAAUGUUGACCUCGGAUCAGGUAGGAAUACCCGCUGAACUUAAGCAUAUCAAUAAGCGGAGGAA